This 369-nucleotide ribosomal RNA is filed under the name Triticum aestivum (bread wheat). RNAcentral's name for it is "partial small subunit ribosomal RNA". The record is from RNAcentral. Lineage: Eukaryota; Viridiplantae; Streptophyta; Magnoliopsida; Poales; Poaceae.
AUGGCCGCUCCGAGCGCGUCGUUGGGUAUGGGAACCACCCCACCCGAUGCCGGCGAGUCUCCCUCCACGCCAGGCGGAGAGACGGAAAGCUCCGCGCAGGCCUGGAUGCAGGCGCGCUCGUACGUCCGCCCCGACAGCAGGAUCACCGGGUCGGACAUGGGCGCGCCCAGUAUCGGGCACAGGAACUCCCGUGGCACCUCCUCCUCCUUGUCCACCGGGGACAGGGUUGCAGGGAGGGACGGCGGCGGCGGCGGCUUGGAGUGGAAGGGCAGAAGCUUCCAGCGCCAUGCGCGCGCGGCACCCAUGCUUAAUUAUCAGCUCGGCAGCUGCAAGCAGCGCAGCGGCGCUUUGGUGCUUUUGGUGCAAUAA